Molecule: ribosomal RNA, 215 nt
Filed under: Algoriphagus faecimaris
Lineage: Bacteria; Pseudomonadati; Bacteroidota; Cytophagia; Cytophagales; Cyclobacteriaceae
Description: 16S rRNA. Bacterial SSU
Rfam family: Bacterial small subunit ribosomal RNA
Source: RNAcentral
UUACAAUGGAGAGUUUGAUCCUGGCUCAGGAUGAACGCUAGCGGCAGGCCUAAUACAUGCAAGUCGAACGAGAUUUGGGACUUCGGUUCCAAUGAAAGUGGCGCACGGGUGCGUAACACGUAUGCAACCUACCUUAUACAGGGGGAUAGCCCGGGGAAACCCGGAUUAAUACCCCAUGGUAUAGACGAAUCGCAUGAUUUGUUUAUUAAAGAUUU